RNAcentral lists this signal recognition particle RNA (265 nucleotides) under Vampirovibrio sp. Its description in RNAcentral is "signal recognition particle sRNA large type". It matches the Rfam family "Bacterial large signal recognition particle RNA". From Rfam's summary of the family: The signal recognition particle (SRP) is a universally conserved ribonucleoprotein involved in the co-translational targeting of proteins to membranes. The record is from RNAcentral. Lineage: Bacteria; Bacillati; Candidatus Melainabacteria; Vampirovibriophyceae; Vampirovibrionales; Vampirovibrionaceae.
CCGCACACCACGGGGAGCCAGCGGUGCCCUGUACCCGCAAUCCGCUUUAGCGGGGUGGAUGUUUGCCUUGAGGCGCUUUGUUGACUGACAGUUGACGAGGAUCCGGUGAAGGUGUGGCGUCUUGCCUGGCGUUUGGAUGAUGAACCAUGUCAGGGCGGGAACGCAGCAGCAUUAAGUCAACCCCGGCGGGUAGUGUAAGGCUGUCACACUGGAGGACUCCUCCCAAUUGCUUGGUGGCCAAGGUGGUCGAGGGGCAGACGUGCGG